GCCAGAGUGGCGGAACUGGUAUACGCGCAGGACUUAAAAUCCUGUGGUUGAAUAAACCUUGUGGGUUCGAGUCCCACCUCUGGCA
Molecule: transfer RNA, 85 nt
Filed under: Microgenomates group bacterium
Lineage: Bacteria
Description: tRNA-Leu
Rfam family: tRNA
About the family: Transfer RNA (tRNA) molecules are approximately 80 nucleotides in length. Their secondary structure includes four short double-helical elements and three loops (D, anti-codon, and T loops). Further hydrogen bonds mediate the characteristic L-shaped molecular structure. tRNAs have two regions of fundamental functional importance: the anti-codon, which is responsible for specific mRNA codon recognition, and the 3' end, to which the tRNAs corresponding amino acid is attached (by aminoacyl-tRNA synthetases). tRNAs cope with the degeneracy of the genetic code in two manners: having more than one tRNA (with a specific anti-codon) for a particular amino acid; and 'wobble' base-pairing, i.e. permitting non-standard base-pairing at the 3rd anti-codon position.
Source: RNAcentral